GGUUAAGCGACUAAGCGUACACGGUGGAUGCCCUGGCAGUCAGAGGCGAUGAAGGGCGUGCUAAUCUGCGAUAAGCGCCGGUAAGGUGAUAUGAACCGUUAUAACCGGCGAUACCCGAAUGGGGAAACCCAGUGUGACUCGUCACACUAUCAUUAACUGAAUCCAUAGGUUAAUGAGGCGAACCGGGGGAACUGAAACAUCUAAGUACCCCGAGGAAAAGAAAUCAACCGAGAUUCCCCCAGUAGCGGCGAGCGAACGGGGAGUAGCCCAGAGCCUGAAUCAGCAUGUGUGUUAGUGGAAGCGUCUGGAAAGGCGCGCGAUACAGGGUGACAGCCCCGUACACAAAAGCGCAUGUGCUGUGAGCUCGAUGAGUAGGGCGGGACACGUGGUAUCCUGUCUGAAUAUGGGGGGACCAUCCUCCAAGGCUAAAUACUCCUGACUGACCGAUAGUGAACCAGUACCGUGAGGGAAAGGCGAAAAGAACCCCGGCGAGGGGAGUGAAAAAGAACCUGAAACCGUGUACGUACAAGCAGUGGGAGCACCCUUUGGGGUGUGACUGCGUACCUUUUGUAUAAUGGGUCAGCGACUUAUAUUCUGUAGCAAGGUUAACCGAAUAGGGGAGCCGUAGGGAAACCGAGUCUUAAUUGGGCGUUAAGUUGCAGGGUAUAGACCCGAAACCCGGUGAUCUAGCCAUGGGCAGGUUGAAGGUUGGGUAACACUAACUGGAGGACCGAACCGACUAAUGUUGAAAAAUUAGCGGAUGACCUGUGGCUGGGGGUGAAAGGCCAAUCAAACCGGGAGAUAGCUGGUUCUCCCCGAAAGCUAUUUAGGUAGCGCCUCGUGAACUCAUCUCCGGGGGUAGAGCACUGUUUCGGCUAGGGGGCCAUCCCGGCUUACCAACCCGAUGCAAACUGCGAAUACCGGAGAAUGUUAUCACGGGAGACACACGGCGGGUGCUAACGUCCGUCGUGAAGAGGGAAACAACCCAGACCGCCAGCUAAGGUCCCAAAGUCAUGGUUAAGUGGGAAACGAUGUGGGAAGGCCCAGACAGCCAGGAUGUUGGCUUAGAAGCAGCCAUCAUUUAAAGAAAGCGUAAUAGCUCACUGGUCGAGUCGGCCUGCGCGGAAGAUGUAACGGGGCUAAACCAUGCACCGAAGCUGCGGCAGCGACACUGUGUGUUGUUGGGUAGGGGAGCGUUCUGUAAGCCUGUGAAGGUGGCCUGUGAGGGUUGCUGGAGGUAUCAGAAGUGCGAAUGCUGACAUAAGUAACGAUAAAGCGGGUGAAAAGCCCGCUCGCCGGAAGACCAAGGGUUCCUGUCCAACGUUAAUCGGGGCAGGGUGAGUCGACCCCUAAGGCGAGGCCGAAAGGCGUAGUCGAUGGGAAACGGGUUAAUAUUCCCGUACUUGGUGUUACUGCGAAGGGGGGACGGAGAAGGCUAUGUUGGCCGGGCGACGGUUGUCCCGGUUUAAGCGUGUAGGUGUGUGUUCCAGGUAAAUCCGGUUCACUUUAACACUGAGGCGUGACGACGAGGCACUACGGUGCUGAAGCAACAAAUGCCCUGCUUCCAGGAAAAGCCUCUAAGCAUCAGGUAACAUCAAAUCGUACCCCAAACCGACACAGGUGGUCAGGUAGAGAAUACCAAGGCGCUUGAGAGAACUCGGGUGAAGGAACUAGGCAAAAUGGUGCCGUAACUUCGGGAGAAGGCACGCUGACACGUAGGUGAAGUGAUUUACUCACGGAGCUGAAGUCAGUCGAAGAUACCAGCUGGCUGCAACUGUUUAUUAAAAACACAGCACUGUGCAAACACGAAAGUGGACGUAUACGGUGUGACGCCUGCCCGGUGCCGGAAGGUUAAUUGAUGGGGUCAGCGCAAGCGAAGCUCCUGAUCGAAGCCCCGGUAAACGGCGGCCGUAACUAUAACGGUCCUAAGGUAGCGAAAUUCCUUGUCGGGUAAGUUCCGACCUGCACGAAUGGCGUAAUGAUGGCCAGGCUGUCUCCACCCGAGACUCAGUGAAAUUGAACUCGCUGUGAAGAUGCAGUGUACCCGCGGCAAGACGGAAAGACCCCGUGAACCUUUACUAUAGCUUGACACUGAACAUUGAGCCUUGAUGUGUAGGAUAGGUGGGAGGCUUUGAAGUGUGGACGCCAGUCUGCAUGGAGCCGACCUUGAAAUACCACCCUUUAAUGUUUGAUGUUCUAACGUGGACCCGUAAUCCGGGUUGCGGACAGUGUCUGGUGGGUAGUUUGACUGGGGCGGUCUCCUCCUAAAGAGUAACGGAGGAGCACGAAGGUUGGCUAAUCCUGGUCGGACAUCAGGAGGUUAGUGCAAUGGCAUAAGCCAGCUUGACUGCGAGCGUGACGGCGCGAGCAGGUGCGAAAGCAGGUCAUAGUGAUCCGGUGGUUCUGAAUGGAAGGGCCAUCGCUCAACGGAUAAAAGGUACUCCGGGGAUAACAGGCUGAUACCGCCCAAGAGUUCAUAUCGACGGCGGUGUUUGGCACCUCGAUGUCGGCUCAUCACAUCCUGGGGCUGAAGUAGGUCCCAAGGGUAUGGCUGUUCGCCAUUUAAAGUGGUACGCGAGCUGGGUUUAGAACGUCGUGAGACAGUUCGGUCCCUAUCUGCCGUGGGCGCUGGAGAACUGAGGGGGGCUGCUCCUAGUACGAGAGGACCGGAGUGGACGCAUCACUGGUGUUCGGGUUGUCAUGCCAAUGGCACUGCCCGGUAGCUAAAUGCGGAAGAGAUAAGUGCUGAAAGCAUCUAAGCACGAAACUUGCCCCGAGAUGAGUUCUCCCUGAGACUUAGAGUCUCCUGAAGGAACGUUGAAGACGACGACGUUGAUAGGCCGGGUGUGUAAGCGCAGCGAUGCGUUGAGCUAACCGGUACUAAUGAACCGUGAGGCUUAACCUU
RNAcentral lists this ribosomal RNA (2905 nucleotides) under Salmonella enterica subsp. enterica serovar Goldcoast. Its description in RNAcentral is "23S ribosomal RNA". It matches the Rfam family "Bacterial large subunit ribosomal RNA". The record is from RNAcentral. Lineage: Bacteria; Pseudomonadati; Pseudomonadota; Gammaproteobacteria; Enterobacterales; Enterobacteriaceae.